RNAcentral lists this ribosomal RNA (498 nucleotides) under uncultured bacterium. Its description in RNAcentral is "partial 16S ribosomal RNA". It matches the Rfam family "Bacterial small subunit ribosomal RNA", at positions 30 to 523 of the family's 1533-position model. The record is from RNAcentral.
AUUGAACGCUGGCGGCAUGCCUUACACAUGCAAGUCGAACGGUAACAGGUCUUCGGAUGCUGACGAGUGGCGAACGGGUGAGUAAUACAUCGGAACGUGCCUAGUAGUGGGGGAUAACUACUAGAAAGAGUGGCUAAUACCGCAUGAGAUCUACGGAUGAAAGCAGGGGAUCGCAAGGACUUGUGCUACUAGAGCGGUCGAUGGCAGAUUAGGAAGUUGGUGGGACAAAAGCUUACCAAGCCGACGAUCUGUAGCUGGUCUGAGAGGACGAUCAGCCACACUGGGACUGAGACACGGCCCAGACUCCUACGGGAGGCAGCAGUGGGGAAUUUUGGACAAUGGGCGAAAGCCUGAUCCAGCAAUGCCGCGUGCAGGAUGAAGGCCUUCGGGUUGUAAACUGCUUUUGUACGGAACGAAAAGCCCCGGGUUAAUACCCUGGGGUCAUGACGGUACCGUAAGAAUAAGCACCGGCUAACUACGUGCCAGCAGCCGCCGUAA